GACGAACGCUGGCGGCGUGCUUAACACAUGCAAGUCGAACGGAAAGGCCCUGCUUGCAGGGUACUCGAGUGGCGAACGGGUGAGUAACACGUGGGUGAUCUGCCCUGCACUUCGGGAUAAGCCUGGGAAACUGGGUCUAAUACCGGAUAGGAGCCAUUUUUAGUGUGAUGGUUGGAAAGUUUUUUCGGUGUAGGAUGAGCUCGCGGCCUAUCAGCUUGUUGGUGGGGUAAUGGCCUACCAAGGCGGCGACGGGUAGCCGGCCUGAGAGGGUGGACGGCCACAUUGGGACUGAGAUGCGGCCCAGACUCCUACGGGAGGCAGCAGUGGGGAAUAUUGCACAAUGGGCGCAAGCCUGGUGCAGCGACGCCGCGUGGGGGAUGACGGCCUUCGGGUUGUAAACUCCUUUCGCUAGGGACGAAGCUUUUUGUGACGGUACCUAGAUAAGAAGCACCGGCUAACUACGUG
Molecule: ribosomal RNA, 465 nt
Filed under: uncultured bacterium
Lineage: Bacteria
Description: partial 16S ribosomal RNA
Rfam family: Bacterial small subunit ribosomal RNA
Source: RNAcentral